Molecule: ribosomal RNA, 908 nt
Filed under: Vibrio sp.
Lineage: Bacteria; Pseudomonadati; Pseudomonadota; Gammaproteobacteria; Vibrionales; Vibrionaceae
Description: bacterial SSU rRNA
Rfam family: Bacterial small subunit ribosomal RNA
Source: RNAcentral
AUGCAGUCGAGCGGAACGAGUUAUCUGAACCUUCGGGGGACGAUAACGGCGUCGAGCGGCGGACGGGUGAGUAAUGCCUAGGAAAUUGCCCUGAUGUGGGGGAUAACCAUUGGAAACGAUGGCUAAUACCGCAUGAUGCCUACGGGCCAAAGAGGGGGACCUUCGGGCCUCUCGCGUCAGGAUAUGCCUAGGUGGGAUUAGCUAGUUGGUGAGGUAAGGGCUCACCAAGGCGACGAUCCCUAGCUGGUCUGAGAGGAUGAUCAGCCACACUGGAACUGAGACACGGUCCAGACUCCUACGGGAGGCAGCAGUGGGGAAUAUUGCACAAUGGGCGCAAGCCUGAUGCAGCCAUGCCGCGUGUGUGAAGAAGGCCUUCGGGUUGUAAAGCACUUUCAGUCGUGAGGAAGGUAGUGUAGUUAAUAGCUGCAUUAUUUGACGUUAGCGACAGAAGAAGCACCGGCUAACUCCGUGCCAGCAGCCGCGGUAAUACGGAGGGUGCGAGCGUUAAUCGGAAUUACUGGGCGUAAAGCGCAUGCAGGUGGUUUGUUAAGUCAGAUGUGAAAGCCCGGGGCUCAACCUCGGAAUUGCAUUUGAAACUGGCAGACUAGAGUACUGUAGAGGGGGGUAGAAUUUCAGGUGUAGCGGUGAAAUGCGUAGAGAUCUGAAGGAAUACCGGUGGCGAAGGCGGCCCCCUGGACAGAUACUGACACUCAGAUGCGAAAGCGUGGGGGAGCAAACAGGAUUAGAUACCCUGGUAGUCCACGCCGUAAACGAUGUCUACUUGGAGGUUGUGGCCUUGAGCCGUGGCUUUCGGAGCUAACGCGUUAAGUAGACCGCCUGGGGAGUACGGUCGCAAGAUUAAAACUCAAAUGAAUUGACGGGGGCCCGCACAAGCGGUGGAGCAUGUG